This 904-nucleotide long non-coding RNA is filed under the name Anas platyrhynchos platyrhynchos (common mallard). Its description in RNAcentral is "lncRNA (ENSAPLG00000020992.1)". Lineage: Eukaryota; Metazoa; Chordata; Aves; Anseriformes; Anatidae. The record is from RNAcentral.
CUCAAAAGCUUUAACUGUAUCAAGCCUUGUAUAGUUACCUAUUAAAAUAAAAUAAGUGAGUAAGAGGGGAGCCCAUGGUAGGGGAAGAUAAGCUGAUACUUGGUGUUCAUAGGUGCUGUGAACAAAUGUGAUCUACAAAUGGAAGCUUCUCCAUGGCUCCUCAGCCAUGUUAUGUGGCCUGAGGUUCUACAGACCCCUUCUGCAGUUCUUCAGCUGAUUUCAGCCCUCCUGUGCAGUCAUAAGAGAAGGUGUGCUGUUGGCAGGUGCUGUGAUAUGGCCAAGUAGCAACUCUUCACUGGCACCUUGGAAGAAUCAUCUCAUGCAGCUUGUGUACCUAGACUCCUUACUUGGGGCUUGGGUACAGAUUUGGGGUACCUGACGUGGGUGUGACCAGGAAGAUGCACUAUCCACAUUACACAUGAAGUAGCCUCACAAAUGCCUUUGAGGGCAAUGUUCCUUCAAGACUGCAAGCCUUGCUAUGCUAGCUGGGUACCCCAUGGGUGCUCAAAGUGCCAGAUAAUAUUUGUGGCUAGGGAGUGUGGCAUCCAUAAAGCGUCCUCAGGAUGAGUCAACAAUGCAGAGCAGAUGCAGCUACAGGCAGCUGGAGUGCAGGAACAUCUCUGGAAGACACCAUAAUCUGUAUUUAUGAUCUAGCUACUUAAAGCACUGCAUUUUGUUAAUGCAGUAGUCAACAUUAUACAUCACUGGAGUUUGCUAGCUUAUCAGGCGACUGUUUUUAAAAAUCUAAAGCAAAAAUAUAUAUGUUGGUAUUUAAUGUUACAUUGUGUUUCCUUGCUGCUAAUUGUCCUUGUGCUCUGCUCGCUAUUUUACAUAUAUUUACAUACUGUUAGAAAGCCCUAGUCUCAUUGUGAAUAAAGAACAAUACACAGGCUAUUUGGUGGCA